This 460-nucleotide ribosomal RNA is filed under the name uncultured bacterium. RNAcentral's name for it is "partial 16S ribosomal RNA". It matches the Rfam family "Bacterial small subunit ribosomal RNA", at positions 338 to 795 of the family's 1533-position model. The record is from RNAcentral.
CCUACGGGCGGCAGCAGUGAGGAAUAUUGCUCAAUGGGCGCUAGCCUGAUCCAGCCACGCAGCGUGAAGGAUGACUGCCUUAUGGUUUGUAAGCUUCUUUUAUAUGGAAGUAAAGUGCCGUUAGUAUACUACUUUGCACUUACCUUCUGAAUACGGAUAGCCUAACUCCGUGCAAGCAGCCGCGGUAAUACGGAGGAUACGAGCGUUAUCUGGAUUGAAUGGGUUUAAAGGGAGCGGAGGGGGGUUGUUAAGUCAGUUGUGAAAGUUUGGGGCUCAACCGUAAGAUUGCAGUUGAUACUGGCAUCCUAGAGUACAGUAGAGGUAAGCGGAAUUCGUGGUGUAGCGGUGAAAUGCGUAGAUAUCAGGAAGAACACCGAUUGCGAAGGCAGCCUACUGGACUGUAACUGACGCUGAUGCUCGAAAGUGUGGGUAGCAAACAGGAUUAGAUACCCGAGUAGUC